Non-coding RNA from Meleagris gallopavo (turkey), 3809 nucleotides. NCBI's taxonomy places the organism in Eukaryota, Metazoa, Chordata, Aves, Galliformes, Phasianidae. The record is from RefSeq and is a predicted model, not a curated record.
UCACCAUAAGGGUGGUUGUGUGGCCACAGCCUUGUGGCCUGGUGACUUAGUUUUCCUGAGAAGCUGCAGUUGUGUUCCACACCUCCAUCUCACCAACUUGCCCUGCUUGCCUUGUUCUGGCAUUAAUGUCUAUGUGGCCAACUCUGUUUUUCACCUUUCUUUCUGCUCUUUCAGAAAACUGAUAAUGAAGCUGCAGGCAAAGAGUGCCUUUUCUCUUGGUGGUGCAUCCCUUUUUCUUCCCUUGCUGAUUUGGACAUCCUCAGGGAGAUGAAUUGUCGGAGAACUAACAAAACCACCACAACAAAACCCAAGUGAAUUUAAUUUACUUCGGGUUAACACUUGUAUGUUUGCAGGCUUGAUGAGUAACAAAGCCAGUGGAAGAGGUGGGACAGGGACUUUCACUUCUGGCAUUAGCUCAAGCAUACUUGGCUCAGAGUUGGUGAGAAGCAGAAUUCCCAGCCUCUAGCAGGCUCUGGCUGUAAUUUAAUAUCACGUGGUGUGUUAGAGAUUUGGCUUGUAUUUGCCUGACAGGCAGCUAGAAUGGGUUAAAAUAUGCUCCAUCCCUCAGGCAUGCAUCUGAGUUCCUUUGCAGAAGGGAUCAGGGUGCCAAGUUUGGGGCACACAUCUCCCUGUGGGUGAUGGCCCCUGGCAGCGUGUAGGCUAAAGAUGCCCCCCCAGACACCGUGGCUGUGUUUGCAGGUGCUUCUCUCUGAUACUGGGGCUCAGGGUUCUGCCUGGCAGUAAGAGGGUGGGAUCCUGCAUGGCCUCUGAAGGGAGGCAGCUAGCUGCUGCAUUUCACCAGGAGGAAUAUUUUUGCUUUGCAGUGUAAUGUGAAUGGAUUGUAAGUGAUGACUGUGGUUCUCUUUCACGCUCACAGUGCAAGAAUGGUCUUUUUUCUCUCUCUUUUUUCUUCCUUUGUGUGUCUGUGUAUGUUGCUUCUUCUAUCUCCGCCCCAGCAGCCAUUUCUCCUCCAGCAAUUCAGUUCCUUUGUUUCUCAUGCUUGCCAAGACUUUUUAUCAAUCUAGUAUUUCUUUGAACUUUUUCCAAAGUUUUUCUAGACUUUCCACCUUGAAUGAGCCUCAUGAAAAAAUCUAAACCCUUUUUUGGGGCAGAAUACUUCUUGUUCUUCUGAUCUUCUGGUGAUUUUUCUUUUUCUUUUUUUUUUUUUUUUAAUGAAUACUCACAAUGCUUUACAUAAAAACUAGGCUGACGUGCUGUAGGAAUUUACUGAGUAUUAUCUACUUAUUCCUGGCUUUGGGCCCAACUAAAGUCCCACUGAAGUCUUCUGUUGGCUGAGAGCAGUAAGGUCUAUUUGCAAACUGAAGAUACUCCGUGCUCUGCAUAACGUUGUAUCUCAGCAUCUCCCUCCUUCAGACACAUGUAUCUCAGCUGUCCCUCCUUGCACCCCUUGUCAUUUGUGAGUGACACAGUAUGGGGACACUUUGCCCACUUGAGUUGUGCAGCAGCUGUCAGUCUGUAAAGAAAAGAAGGAGCUGCAGCUGACAGUCACCUUCUGUUCCUGACUGUGUCCCCCUGUGCUCCAGCAGCUCCUGUGCUGCACGGUGUCAACAUUAAUGUUAUUCUGAGACCUGGUUCUGUUGCCACAAACAUGCAGAAGUGCUUUUCAAGUAACUUACCUCUGCUGGAACCCGUCUGCUACUUUACUGCUGGAUUUCUGUUACUUCUCCACUACCUUACUCUAUUUCAUCCUCUUCUCACUGCAGCAUGUGGGUUCAAACAGUUGUGCAGUGCAAACUACUCCAGAUUUAAACUCAAAGCAAAGCAAAAAGGUCCCCACCCUGAACUGAACUUGCCCCUUUAACACUGCAACGUGAAGCCUGGCUGGGAUCCAGCCUGGAGGCUUUCCUUGGAAUUACUCUUUAGGGCACAGAUUCCUGCAGAAAUAAUAGUAGGAUCCUGAUCAGCUGGGCUUUGCCAGGCAGCUGCAGUCCAGUGAAGACAUCUGCCCACUCCCCUCCUUUGGGCUUCUCUGGGGUUCUUGCAUAUAAGAAGGAGUGAGGGAAGCAGACAGAAAUACAACUGUGAUUCUAAAUCCUCCUGCUCCUUGAAGGAUGUAGGUGAAAUUGUUCAAGCUCUCAUUAUGGAAAAUGGAUAUCUUUGUUUCACGUGUUCAUUCUGUGGUGCUUCAUUAAAAGCUGGUUUAUUGUUGGACUCUGCUGGACUCUUACUGGGAAAAUUGCUGCUCUUGUUUUCUGGCCUGAUCCGGCUUCCCUUAGAGCUAAAAGAAAUCUGUUGUGCUCAGUGGGUAAAUGGCAAGGUAAGAACUGAUGCAAAACCAAAUGAUUGCUCUGAGUGAGCCAAUCCUCGACACUGAGAUCCCUUGUGCGAGCUAUAACUAAGGGCAAAAAGCACAUAAACAGAGCUGUUCAUUUCUAAUUUGAGCAACAAGGAGUCUGCCCACUUCUUACUGUCUGGCUCAGUAUGGCAAACAGGUGAGCCUGCCCACUUUGUUUUUCACUGGGAUAUGGCUGGUUUGCAGGGCCACCUCAGAACCAGGGCAUGUUUGUGCUGCUCCUCAUGGAGAAUGCUAUGUAGGGGCAUAUAUGCACGCACUGUUGCUAUUUACAGCAUCGCUGCCAAGUCAGUGUCUGAAACACUGCCUUUGACCUGGUUGGCAGAGCUGAUACAGAGUGGUACAUAUGGAUUGACACUGUGCUCCUGACUCUCUCACAGGCAAGGUCUCUGAGGCAGGAGUUAACUCAGGGCAAGGUCUUGUCUCAGACAUCUUGAUCCUGCUUUAUUUCAAUGAAUUUGCCAUUACGCUUUUCUAACCAGGGUGAAGUAGCCUCAAUUGUUAGUGUCGUCUCUGCUUUUAUUUAUUUAUUUAUGCAUUUUCUACAGGGAAUGAAGCAUUUAUUUCUGUUGUGCGGAAAGUCCGUCCAAAACUUGUCCGUAUUUCUGAUGCUGGAUCCAGUCCGUAAGCGAUUGCCAUUUCUCCAGUGAGCAGAGGGGACCGGAGGGAUUUCAGUUCUUGGAAUAUUACAAAGGUCGCUGACACUUGUCCUUGCCUCAACUUGGAGGCUGACCAGAUUCUGGAAUCAAGCUACUACUUCCACUCCACAUCCCGAGUGUGCAGCACUCUGGUAACUUUCUUGGGGAGCCUGGAGCAAAAAGAGGCAUGCGCAUACUGGAGAGAACCCAGUGAAGAGCCAUGAAGAUGAAGGGCCUGAAGUACCUCUCUUGUGAGGAGAGACUGAGAGAGCUGAGACUGUUCGGCCUGGAGAGUCUUAGAGGGGAAUUUUACCAAUGUACAUAAAUACCUGAAGGGAAGGUGCAAAGAUGAAGCCAGGCUCCUGUCAGUGGUGGUUAGUGCUAAGGUAAGAGGCAAUGGGCUUAAACUGAAACAUAGGAGUUCCCACUAACUGUCAGGAAGCACUUCUGUGGUGUGUAAACAAUGGAAAACAAUCUGCUCAGAGAGGCUGUGGAAUUUCUUCCUUGGAAAUCUUCAUCAUCCUCUGGACAUGGUCUUGGACACCUUGCUCUGAGUGUCCUUGCUUGGGCAGAUGUUGCAUCAAAUGGAUCUAGAGGUUCUUUCUAAUCUCAAAUAUUGUAUGAUUCUGGGAUCCUUGAUCACUGCUUUCCCGUGAUGAGUUAGGGCUUCUUUCCUUCAGUUCAUGCUGAAGGCUGAGUUUUUCAGGGCUUGUCAGUCAGACAGACUUUGAGGGAGGGAACAAGGGGUAGCAUGGCAGAAACAUGCUAGUGGAGCAAAACCAAUGUAGCUUUCACUGUUCUGGGGAUUUGGAGUGCUACUCUUUGAGGAACAGUAGAAGGAGUGGAAAGCUGUGCAA